This 2753-nucleotide long non-coding RNA is filed under the name Equus asinus (donkey). Its description in RNAcentral is "lncRNA (ENSEASG00005026109.1)". Lineage: Eukaryota; Metazoa; Chordata; Mammalia; Perissodactyla; Equidae. The record is from RNAcentral.
UGUUUCUGUGCAUGACUUAGUGACACCUCCUGGCCCCCAGGACUCUUGGAGGGGUCAGGGAGGCAAGGUACGCAAAGUGCCUCAUAUGAUGAAGUAGGUACCGGUUACAUGCUCGUUCCCUCCCCUUUUAGGGUUGAAUAUCAUGAGAUGCUUGACAUGACGGGAGAACAGUACCCCCCUCCGUCACCUGCCUGUGGUCUGAACCAGGGGAGCCUUCCUCCAUGGCUCCACCCCGUUGUGAAAAGCCGGGCAGGGGUGCAGUGACUGCCGAGGACCACUGGAGGGCGGGCUGGCCCACAGGCCAGUCCUGAGACAGCUUCGUUCAUGACUAGACCCAGAAGGAAGUUAGGAGGUGAUGCUGGGGGGCUGCUCCCACCUGGCGAAGGAGCCUGGAUGCCUGGCCUGCUAGUGGUACAUCUGGAUGACUCGGCCCUGACCUUUGCCCCCCUGCACGUUGUCCCCAGUCCUCUGCCAAGCAUGAGGAGAAAGUCCUCUGGCUAAGUGCCAAGCAUCCACACCCGGCACAGGGACACUGUCAUUGGGCCGGGCUCAGGGCACACCUGGUCCUGAGUGUGGCCAUCAGCCUGGUCAUGGGGGAAAGGAUGGGCAGGUAAAGGAUCCAAGAAGUUUACCCGAAAACUUGAGCCCAAAAUUCUGUCUCCCCUUCCGGGGCAAUGGUGCCAAGGUGACCUUGGGUCCUCGGUGUGUGCCUUCACACUGACGGGCUUGUGCUGUCUCCUCUCCUUGCACAAGACAAGUCGCUCAAAGCCUGAAGACGCCUUGACCGGGAAGUCACGGCUGAGGAAGGGACAGUGCAGGUGCAGAAGCUCCAGGCCAGGUGCAGUGCCCUCCGGGCCGCCCCCAGGGCACAGGGACACUCCUCAUUUGCUGCAUAUCCAUGCCACUUUCCCUUCUCCUCCUUUUCCUUAAGUUCUGCCCAAGUUCUAAACUCCGAGAAACUUUCAGCAGCUGCCCUGAUAUAACGCACAGUAUUGUCAGCGCUGCAAAGCCGGCUGGGCCCCCGUCAGGUUGGGGUGUGCUCAUCGCGUCCAUUUUAUUAAGAAGCUUUCUCUCCCUGCUUGUUUGGAGGCCAGGACUAAUCUUCUGUCCAGCACUGAGAGGUCCAGUGUCCCCUCCCCCUGCCUCCCCAAAGUAGCUCAGUUUAAAUAUAUAUAUGAAAACAAAUAAAGUUCAAAACGAAGUAAAGCCGUGGGCCAGUAAGCAACGAAGUCAGAAGGGUGCUCCCCGUUUCUGCACGUGAGUCUUCUCGCUAAGAAUGUGACCGGGCUGGUACGUACCCGCGUCUAUCUUCAAGGCUGAGGCCUCAAAUCCUCCCGAAUUGCCUCCUCUGUCGUUCCCCCAAGCACACGCACAUCUGAAAUCCACUGUCCAGUCCAGUGCUUCUCGGAGGGGCAACGUGCACCGGAUCACCUGGAGAUCUGGUUGACGUGGAGAUUCUGGUUCAGCAGGUGCUGCCCCAGUUUCCUCCUCUGUGUGGUGACGGGAUGAGGGCCUACUUUCUCGAGCCACAGAUUUGACCUUCUGGUUCAUCUCUCCCCUCCCUCAGGGAGGGCUCCGCAUCCUCUGCCGCCUGCCUUGCCUGGUGAUGGCUGUAGGGCAUCACCAUCCCUGACCUUCUCUAGACCCAUAGCCACAAUCUCAGCAACAAUCUCCUCCGUUGUGCAAAUGAGAAAACAGAGGCCCAGAGAGGAACACAACUUGCCCAAGGUCACACAGCAAGGAUUUAAUGGAGCACAGAGCCCGACCUUGGAGUGGGAAGGAAAGGAGGACGUUGGGAUGGCUCAGGGAUGGGGGUUUCACUGGCCUGCGGGUCUGUGUGUUCCCCGGAAAGCAGGGCCCCCGGGAAGGUGAGAAGGCCGUGCACCCUUCCUGGUCCUGUUUCUGUGCCUCAGCCUGCCUCCUGCGUGGCCAAGGCCUGGCCUGAGGGCGGUGGCCCCAGCCAGAGCCGGACACGCCCUCUGGACACAUCCGGAGCUGUCUGGAAAGGACCUUGCUGGUUUCAUAAAGAUCCUCCCAGGGCAGGGCUCAGGACGUUCCUGGACAGCUGGUGGGCUGGGCUUCCUCCCACCACCACAGCCACCCGGUGAAGCGCCCCACCCCCAGCCUGGGUGUCUCCCGGCGCCCAGAGCUGCAGUCCCCCCUCCCCUUGCCCUUGGAAGCCACACCUUGCUGCUCAUCCUACAAGCCCCAGCCCUGUCUGGGCUGCCCAGAAAGUGACCUUUGCCCUGAGGAGCUGGUGACAGAAGAGGAGCUUUCUCUAGAGAACAAAGGUCAACUGGGGUCCCCAGGCUGAUUGGCCUAGGCCAGAAGCAUCAGUUUCUUGGGCUGGGCCCCUAGUCUCUGCCCCCCAAGCUCCCCCCACACACACUCAUUCUAGGGCAAGGUUGGGGUUGAUGGAAGCGUCUGGGGCUGACUGGAGGGGCUGGGGGGCCUGAGUGUCCUGACCCUAGAAGGGGCCAUCGCUGCAUUAGAGUGACUGCAACCCUGGAACUUAAAAAUACCAGUAACUUGGGGCUGGCCCCGUGGCCGAGUGGUCAAGUUCAUGCGCUCCGCUGCAGGCCGCCCAGUGUUUCGUUGGUUCGAAUCCUGGGCGCGGACAUGGCACUGCUCAUCAAACCACGCCGAGGCAGCAUCCCACAUACCACAACUACAAGGACCCACAACGAAGAAUAUACAACUAUGUACCGGGGGGGCUUUGGGGAGAAAAAGGAAAAAAUAAAAUCUUUAAAAAA